AGGCUAGCUACUCACUCUAGGGUUAGAUAAAAGGGAAGAAAGAAAGAAGAGAGCCAUUUUGGCCCUUGGUAUCCGUCGGCUAGAGGGAGAAGAGAGAGAGAGUGUGUGUGAGAUAGAGAGAGAAAGAAAGAAGGAAAGAAGAGAAAGGAAGAGGAGGAGGAGGAGAAGAGAAAAGGAUUUCGAAUCCUAGGAGGGUGAUUACCAUCUUUCCAUAUUUCAAGACUUGGUCAUCACGAGGAGACAUUGGGGGCCUCUAACGUGUCCCCUGAGAAGACGUGCAAACAUCUAACGUCUCCCCUGGGAAGAUGUGCCACAUCGGACGUCUUCCCAAAGAUCUCUCCUAUAUAUAAUCCUCUUAUACCUUCUUCUUCCCCGAGCCACAUGAACCAGAGGUGAAGGAUAGCGAUUUUGGGCAUUUCUGUUUUGGGUGAUCUUGGCUCGAUUUCAAGCAGAUUUGAGGUAAAGGCAAGGGCAAGAUCGGUCAACCUUGAUUGGAGAGCUCUGCAGGGUGAAUGUACAUAUCAGGCCGCUCAACCGCCACGGUUGAGGAGGUUACAGGGACGAGAGGACCAGAACCUUGUAUUUUUCCUUAGUAUGGCUGAUGUUUACUCUUAACUGUUGAAUUUUGUAAACCAGCUUUUAAAGACUGUUGAUUUUGGGGAUCCCUUCUGUAAACUGUUUACAACUUAUAAAAUGUAUCUUUUGAGGCCAAAAUGUCUUUUAGCCCUAGAACUCUUUAGUUAAUGACACGUUUUGAUUAAAUGACUUGAUUAGCAAGCCUCACAUCUUUAUAAAUACACAGUGUAGCGGUCCUGGCUAUGCAGGGCGUUACAUAAGUUGAUCAUUUAUAUUAUGUUUAUUUAUUUAUUUAGUAAUUUUUUAUUUAUUAAUUAAUUU
Long non-coding RNA from Humulus lupulus (European hop), 897 nucleotides. RefSeq lists it as uncharacterized. The record is from RefSeq and is a predicted model, not a curated record. The transcript has 5 exons. NCBI's taxonomy places the organism in Eukaryota, Viridiplantae, Streptophyta, Magnoliopsida, Rosales, Cannabaceae.